This 720-nucleotide ribosomal RNA is filed under the name uncultured bacterium. RNAcentral describes it as "bacterial SSU rRNA". It matches the Rfam family "Bacterial small subunit ribosomal RNA", at positions 114 to 829 of the family's 1533-position model. The record is from RNAcentral.
UAUAUCGGAACGUAUCCAAUAAUGGGGGAUAACUAGCCGAAAGGUUGGCUAAUACCGCAUACGCCCUACGGGGGAAAGCAGGGGAUCUUCGGACCUUGCGUUAAUGGAGCGGCUGAUAUCUGAUUAGCUAGUAGGUGAGGUAAAGGCUCACCUAGGCGACGAUCAGUAGCUGGUCUGAGAGGACGACCAGCCACACUGGAACUGAGACACGGUCCAGACUCCUACGGGAGGCAGCAGUGGGGAAUUUUGGACAAUGGGGGCAACCCUGAUCCAGCCAUUCCGCGUGAGUGAAGAAGGCCUUCGGGUUGUAAAGCUCUUUCGCAAGGGAAGAAACGAUACGGACGAAUAAUCCGUGUUAAUGACGGUACCUUGAUAAGAAGCACCGGCUAACUACGUGCCAGCAGCCGCGGUAAUACGUAGGGUGCGAGCGUUAAUCGGAAUUACUGGGCGUAAAGCGUGCGCAGGCGGUUUUGAAAGUCAGAUGUGAAAUCCCCGGGCUCAACCUGGGAACUGCGUUUGAAACUCCAAAGCUAGAGUAUGGGAGAGGGGGGGUAGAAUUCCACGUGUAGCAGUGAAAUGCGUAGAGAUGUGGAGGAAUACCAAUGGCGAAGGCAGCCCCCUGGGAUAAUACUGACGCUCAUGCACGAAAGCGUGGGGAGCAAACAGGAUUAGAUACCCUGGUAGUCCACGCCCUAAACGAUGCUGACUAGUUGUUCGGGA